UCGAGUUUACAACUCCCAAACCCCUGUGAACAUACCUAUCGUUGCUUCGGCGGGAUCGCCCCGGCGCCUCCGGGCCCGGACCCGGGCGCCCGCCGGAGGACCCAAACUCUUGAAUUUACGGUGUAUCUUCUGAGUGAAAACAAGCAAAUAAAUCA
RNAcentral lists this unclassified non-coding RNA (155 nucleotides) under uncultured Fusarium. Its description in RNAcentral is "sequence contains ITS1". Lineage: Eukaryota; Fungi; Ascomycota; Sordariomycetes; Hypocreales; Nectriaceae. The record is from RNAcentral.